Molecule: non-coding RNA, 26 nt
Filed under: Homo sapiens (human)
Lineage: Eukaryota; Metazoa; Chordata; Mammalia; Primates; Hominidae
Source: RNAcentral
UCACCACAAAUGGGGCUGUCUACAUC